GGCAAUUCUAGGCCUUUUGGCUCAGAUCAAGUGUCUGUUCCUAUCAGUUUAACAUCUGUGUCCUUUACCUGAGGACAGCAUAUUACAUUGAUUUUUAUUUUUUUAUUAUUU
The sequence is a small nuclear RNA, 111 nucleotides long. Its record names the gene U2. It matches the Rfam family "U2 spliceosomal RNA". Rfam says of the family: U2 is a small nuclear RNA (snRNA) component of the spliceosome (involved in pre-mRNA splicing). The record is from Ensembl.